UUGGGAAAUGAUUUAUAUAAGAAGAACAAAAUUUUCUGCCUACAUUUUAUUUGUGAAAGCCAAGACUUUACAAUGAAAGCAAUUUUUGCUCUUUUCGUGAUUGUCGCCAUCAUUGGAAUGGCAAUGGCUGGUGUGCACCAUUACAAAAUUAAAGGUAGCGGUGGAGACCAUG
Long non-coding RNA from Argiope bruennichi, 172 nucleotides. RefSeq lists it as uncharacterized. Lineage: Eukaryota; Metazoa; Arthropoda; Arachnida; Araneae; Araneidae. The transcript has 3 exons. The record is from RefSeq and is a predicted model, not a curated record.